Molecule: ribosomal RNA, 370 nt
Filed under: uncultured bacterium
Lineage: Bacteria
Description: bacterial SSU rRNA
Rfam family: Bacterial small subunit ribosomal RNA
Source: RNAcentral
GUAGGGUGCGAGCGUUAAUCGGAAUUACUGGGCGUAAAGCGUGCGCAGGCGGUUUUGUAAGCCAGAUGUGAAAUCCCCGGGCUUAACCUGGGAAUGGCAUUUGGGACUGCAAGGCUUGAGUGCGGCAGAGGAGACUGGAAUUCCUGGUGUAGCAGUGAAAUGCGUAGAUAUCAGGAGGAACACCGAUGGCGAAGGCAGGUCUCUGGGCUGACACUGACGCUCAUGCACGAAAGCGUGGGGAGCAAACAGGAUUAGAUACCCUGGUAGUCCACGCCCUAAACGAUGUCGACUGGUUGUUGGGGGUUUGACACUCUCAGUAACGAAGCUAACGCGUGAAGUCGACCGCCUGGGGAGUACGGCCGCAAGGUUA